UUUCACAGUGAACUUCUCCAGGAUGAGGGGUUUGUGAGUAUUGCGUACGAACUGUACACGGGUAAAACGGUGAGUGGGGACGCAAGGGUGGAGGACUGGUAA
This is a long non-coding RNA of Populus euphratica (Euphrates poplar), 102 nucleotides long. RefSeq lists it as uncharacterized. The record is from RefSeq and is a predicted model, not a curated record. Lineage: Eukaryota; Viridiplantae; Streptophyta; Magnoliopsida; Malpighiales; Salicaceae. The transcript is spliced from 3 exons.